RNAcentral lists this ribosomal RNA (253 nucleotides) under uncultured bacterium. Its description in RNAcentral is "partial 16S ribosomal RNA". It matches the Rfam family "Bacterial small subunit ribosomal RNA", at positions 524 to 776 of the family's 1533-position model. The record is from RNAcentral.
UACGUAGGGUGCAAGCGUUAAUCGGAAUUACUGGGCGUAAAGCGUGCGCAGGCGGUCUUGCAAGACAGAUGUGAAAUCCCCGGGCUCCACCUGGGAACUGCAUUUGUGACUGCAAGGCUGGAGUACGGUAGAGGGGGAUGGAAUUCCGCGUGUAGCAGUGAAAUGCGUAGAUAUCUGGAGGAACACCGGUGGCGAAGGCGGCUAUCUGGUCGAGUACUGACACUGAGACACGAAAGCAUGGGGAUCAAACAGG